CUGUAUGGCCACACCACGCUGGUCUUGUCUGAUCUCAGAAGCUAAGCAGUGUUGGGCCUGCUUACUUCUUGCAAGGAAGGAUGCUAAACUUU
Molecule: ribosomal RNA, 92 nt
Organism: Aotus nancymaae (Ma's night monkey)
Lineage: Eukaryota; Metazoa; Chordata; Mammalia; Primates; Aotidae
Source: Ensembl